UGGGUAAAAGAGGUUACUCGUCCUCUGCGUGCUGCUACGCGGGCUGGCUUGACCUCGUCACGCUGCAGGUGGCCCCUUUCUGUCCUUGGUCCCAACCGCCGAGCGAGUUGUGUUUCUCUCUAGGUUUCUCUAGGAGUUACAGCGCCUGUUUCGGUUCCGGAUGAGUGGUCUCCUUGUGCUCGUCUCUUCCUCUGUGCCUCCCGUCUCAUCCCACUUCCCCCGCCUGCAUCUCCUCGUCUCACCCUCAUCCGCUCGCCAUUGUCGCUCCUCGUCUGCUUGUCUCGCCCUCAUCCGGUUGUUCCGUCAUGGCUCCUCGCGCUGCUGCUGUUGCGUUUGGCUAGGGGCUGUUGCGUCUGGUUUGCUCUCUGCUUGUGCGUCUGCUUAAUCCUUCUUUGUGAGGUCCUGCUUUCCGCUGAUAUCCUCGCUCCCGGUUCGUGGAAGGCCUGCUGCAGUUUGGUUCACCUGAUGCCCCGAGCCUUGUCUUUCAUCUUACCAAGGUUUACAUAAAGAGGGAGAAUGCCGACAGCUGGAAUUCUGGGCUGGAAAAUGAGCAAAUAUUAGAGACCUAUUCUGCACAACUCCAAAAGUCCUGAAACUCCACGGAAG
Aegilops tauschii subsp. strangulata is the source of this 606-nucleotide long non-coding RNA. RefSeq lists it as uncharacterized. The record is from RefSeq and is a predicted model, not a curated record. NCBI's taxonomy places the organism in Eukaryota, Viridiplantae, Streptophyta, Magnoliopsida, Poales, Poaceae.